UGAGGAAUAUUGGUCAAUGGGCGCAAGCCUGAACCAGCCAUCCCGCGUGCAGGAAGACGGCCCUAUGGGUUGUAAACUGCUUUUCCAGGGGGAGAAACUUGCGCACGUGUUGCGCAAUUGACGGUACCCUGGGAAUAAGCAUCGGCUAACUCCGUGCCAGCAGCCGCGGUAAUACGGAGGAUGCGAGCGUUAUCCGGAUUCAUUGGGUUUAAAGGGUGCGUGGGCGGACUAUUAAGUCAGUGGUGAAAUCCUGCAGCUUAACUGCAGAACUGCCAUUGAUACUGAUAGCCUUGAGUUUGGUUAAGGUAGGCGGAAUGUGUAAUGUAGCGGUGAAAUGCUUAGAUAUUACACAGAACACCAAUUGCGAAGGCAGCUUACUGAGCUAUAACUGACGCUGAUGCACGAAAGCGUGGGGAGCAAACA
Molecule: ribosomal RNA, 423 nt
Filed under: uncultured prokaryote
Description: bacterial SSU rRNA
Rfam family: Bacterial small subunit ribosomal RNA
Source: RNAcentral